This is a long non-coding RNA of Lemur catta (Ring-tailed lemur), 276 nucleotides long. RefSeq lists it as uncharacterized. The transcript is spliced from 4 exons. NCBI's taxonomy places the organism in Eukaryota, Metazoa, Chordata, Mammalia, Primates, Lemuridae. The record is from RefSeq and is a predicted model, not a curated record.
GUCACUGGGAAAGGCCUUUCGGAUCUCACAGAAGCAUGACUGAACCAAUGUUUAACUUUUACCCCUAAGAGAGGGCCAAUCCAGAAAGAACCUUUGACUUGGUAUUGAAAGUGAAAUGUCAUGGCUCUGAAAAUGAAGAUCCUGUGGUUUUGUGGAAAUUCCCAGAGGACUUUGGAGACCAGAUGCCAGAACGCUAGCGAGUCAGAACAUUGUGAUCAUCCUUUGUGGAAACAAGAAGGACCUGGAUGCAGAUCGCGAAGUUACGUUCAUAGAAGC